Molecule: ribosomal RNA, 253 nt
Filed under: uncultured bacterium
Lineage: Bacteria
Description: partial 16S ribosomal RNA
Rfam family: Bacterial small subunit ribosomal RNA
Source: RNAcentral
UACGGAGGAUGCAAGCGUUAUCCGGAAUGAUUGGGCGUAAAGAGCUCGUAGGCGGUUUGUCGCGUCGGCUGUGAAAACUCGCAGCUCAACUGUGGGCGUGCAGGCGAUACGGGCAGACUUGAGUACUGCAGGGGAGACUGGAAUUCCUGGUGUAGCGGUGAAAUGCGCAGAUAUCAGGAGGAACACCGGUGGCGAAGGCGGUUCUCUGGGCCUUACCUGACGCUGAGGAGCGAAAGCGUGGGGAGCGAACAGG